RNAcentral lists this unclassified non-coding RNA (311 nucleotides) under Acinetobacter sp. yr461. Its description in RNAcentral is "Long range pseudoknot". Lineage: Bacteria; Pseudomonadati; Pseudomonadota; Gammaproteobacteria; Moraxellales; Moraxellaceae. The record is from RNAcentral.
ACUGAUGUUGGUGAUUAUCAAGUUAAGCUUCGUGCUAUUUUGAAAUUCCUUGAAGAAGGAAACAAAGUAAAGAUUACUUUACGUUUCCGUGGUCGUGAAAUGGCUCACCAACAGCUUGGCUUAGCUCAAUUGCAAAAAAUUGAAGUAGAUGUAGCUGAGUUUGGGGUUGUGGAACAAGCACCAAAAAUGGAAGGCCGUCAAAUGGGUAUGUUACUUGGACCGAAAAAGAAAAAGUAAUACUCAAAAAAAGCACUGCAAAAGCAGUGCUUUUUUAUAACUAAAUAUAAAUAAAAAAGAUGAUUUAAUUUUUC